Molecule: long non-coding RNA, 5043 nt
Filed under: Triticum aestivum (bread wheat)
Lineage: Eukaryota; Viridiplantae; Streptophyta; Magnoliopsida; Poales; Poaceae
Description: long non-coding RNA (TAES_LNC001970)
Source: RNAcentral
AUGGUUAUUCAGACUCAUCCCAAACAAACGGACUAAAAUCCAAGGAACCCCGCAAAUUUUGCAGCAGAAUGCAUGUAGUAAACAUUAAUUUUGAACCCUGCAAAUUCAUGUUUCAUUUUGUAGUAUGCAAGUAAACACAUGGAGCCACGCCCCAAAUUCAAGGACACUCAUGGCCUCUUGUUGCCAACACCAGUAGCAAUCCGUUACCAGAAUUAAUCUACAACUGAUGGUGUUUCAGGUCUCACCAAAAAUCCAUUCAGGUUAUUCGAUCAAUCAAUCCCGACAGAAGCAAAAUCGUGUGUACGACACCUCGCUCACUCAGCUACUACUGAGCAGCUCCCAUGGUGGCACCGCCCCGCCUCGCCAUGCGAACGCAAGCCUCGAACCUCUUGACCGCCUCGGCGCACUUGAGCGGGUCCUGCACGUUGCUCCUGUAGCACUCGGCGCAGCCCGCCCUCUCGUCGGUGCAUGGCGAGGGGUUCUGGUAGGGCAGCUUGAACUCCUUGUCAUGCAGCUCCUUGGCCCUCUUGGUAAGCUCCUCGCGCAUCGCCGCCUCCUUCUUCUGCAGCUUCUCCAGCACCUUCUCGCUCUCCGCCACCACGGCGCGUAUGGCUUCCACCACCUGGAUUGCAGGAGACGGUGGUGGAGGAGCAGGGGUCACUGGUAGGUACAUGGGUGGCGGAAAAGGCAAAACAGGAGCAGGGCUGCUCUUGGGUUCAGUUGGAACUUCCCUGCCAUUGUCCUGAGGCUCCUCUGGUUGCUCCACCACCUUCUUCGGCCUGGGUUUCCUGGUCCUCCUUUUCACCUGCUUCUCGUCAUCGCGCGCGAGCUGCUCGAUCAAGCUGGUGCUUAUCCGGAUUGUGUAGUCACCCAUGGCAGACAAGAAUCCUGAAACAGCAUCACGAGGAAAAGUGACGGAUUAACAGCAAGAUUUAAGAAGGUUAAUUCAAGCAAACAAAGGUCUCAAGCACGAUAAACAAAAUGAAUUGCUGGGCCCUAUACUGAAUGAAUGGUGUGCAUUAACAGCAUAAUCGCACAAAUCCUGAACACGCAAGCUUUCCAGUUCAAAAAUUGAAGGCCUCAUGGAUGCCUGUUAAAUAACAGAAUGAUUAAUAUCUGGGCUCUACACUGAAUAUUACAUUAACACAUGAGGGCAUGCCAUCCACAGUUGUAGAAUACUUUCCAGUUAAAAAGUCAAGGAUCUAUUAGCAUGGCCACAAUUUCAUUUGUCAAUCUUUUAUUAUAUCCUAAUAAAGAAUAAAGGAACAUGUACAAAGUAAAAAAAAACUGAUUUUUUGGAACAUUCAGGAAACAGCAGAGCUCCCGGCUGCUCUAACAGAACGCAAAUAUUAGCCCAUACUUACUGAGGGGUGCAUGAAUUUCUGAUUGGGAAAUAUACUGACUGAGUGCUUUUACUACUUAGUACUCCACCAUGGAAGGGAAAGGCGGCAAACAGUUCCAUCAGUAACAAACUGGAUGGAUGAAUGGAUUGGAGAUGAAGAAAUAUGCGGGCGAGUUUCAAAAGAAAUUUUCCUGGCCACCCCCUCUGGUAAUUUUGGCUAAGGGUUCAACCUACCUAGCCGGCCAGAUCACAAACUGUUGAGGUGCAUCUGAUUAAUUCAUAUUUUAUUCAAGUAUUUUGUAAAUAAUCCCACUCAAAUUAUGGGGGUAACAUUCUUUCUUUAAUCAAACAGACAAGCACAUCUUCGUAAAAUUCCUCUUAACAACAAAAUCGCACAACCAGUUCGAAUAUUGAAGACCUCAUGAAAGCAUGUUAAACAACAUAACAAAACAAAUAUCUGGGCUCUAAACUGAAUUCUACAUUGACAACAUGAGGGCAUCCACAGUUGCAGAGUACUUUUCAGUUAAAAGGUCAGGGAUCUAUUAGCAGGAUCCCUGAUGGUUGAGAUCCAUCUUUACCAUUGUGAAAGAUUGCAAAUUCUGUUCAGUUGUGGUACAUCCUUCACGUUUCCAAAACUGAAGGUGCUUACACUAGAGCAUUUAUUGGAUUUUGAGAGAUGGUGGGAAAUAAAUGAGAGACGCGAAGAACAGAUAAUAUUUCCUCUGCUUGAGACGUUGUUUAUUCGACAUUGUGGAAAGCUGAUAGCAUUACCUGAAGCACCAUUGCUUGGAGAACCAAGUCGUGGAGGUAAUAGACUGGUAUGCACGCCAUUUUCUCUGCUUGAAGCACCGCUGGUUCAUGAAAGUUGCAGUGGAGGUUAUAGAUUAGUACAGUCAGCAUUUCCUGCUCUAAAGGUACUUGCAUUGGAAGACUUGGAGAGUUUCCAGAAAUGGGAUGCAGCUGUCGAAGGAGAACCGAUAUUGUUUCCUCAGCUUGAGACACUAUCAGUCCAGAAAUGCCCAAAGCUAGUAGAUUUACCCGAAGCACCAAAUCUCAGUGUAUUAGAAAUUGUAGAUGGCAAGCAAGAGAUGUUCCAUUUUGUAGACACAUAUUUGUCUUCGUUGACCAAGUUGACACUGAGGCUAGAAAACACAGAAACAACAUCAGAGGUUGAAUGCACUACAAUUGUACCGGUGAACAGCAAGGAGAAAUGGAACCAAAAAUCCCCUCUUACACUUAUGAAGCUAAGAUGCUGCAACUCAUUCUUUGGACCAGGUGCACUAGAGCCGUGGGACUAUUUUGUACACCUUGAAAAGUUGGAAAUUGGUAGAUGUGAUGUGCUCGUCCACUGGCCAGAGAAUGUGUUCCAAAGCUUGGUAUCCUUGAAGAGAUUAGUGAUUAGAAACUGCGAAAAUCUGACUGGAUAUGCACAAGCUCCUCUUGAGCCUUUGGCAUCUGAAAGGAGUGAACGCCUGAGAGGUCUGGAGUCUCUUUGCUUAGACAGCUGCCCAAGUUUAGUAGAGAUGUUCAACGUCCCGGCAUCUCUCAAGAAAAUGGAUAUUGAUAGGUGCAUUAAGCUUGAGUCCAUAUUCAGCAAGCAGCAGGGCAUGGCAGAGUUAGUCCAAGUAUCUUCUAGCAGUGAGGCAGACGUGCCUACAGCUGUAUCAGAGUUGCCAUCCUCACCCAUGAAUCACUUUUGUCCAUGCCUAGAUCAUCUAACUUUAGUCCGAUGUGGAAGCUUACAAGCGGUUCUAAAUCUGUCUUUGUCCUUAAAGACCAUACUUAUUGCUGACUGCAGUAGCAUUCAAGUCCUAUCAUGCCAGCUGGGUGGGCUCUAGAAACCAGAAGCCACUACCUCCAUAAGCAGAAGUCCUAUCAUGCCAUAGCCACUAGCAGCAGCAACAGCACCAGCUGCAAGAGAGCAUUUACUUCCUCCCCAUCUCAAAUCUCUAACAAUACUGAACUGUGCUGGCAUGUUGGGUGGGACUCUCCGUCUGCCUGCACCCCUCAAGACACUGCGCAUUAUUGGCAACAGUGGGCUGACAUCGCUGGAGUGUCUGUCGGGAGAGCACCCCCCAUCGCUGGAAUCCCUUUGGCUUGAAAGAUGCAGUCAGUACCCUGGCAUCCCUGCCGAAUGAGCCGCAAGUAUACAGGUCUCUCAGGUAUCUUGAAAUUAGAGGCUGCCCUGCUAUAAAGAAGCUCCCUAGAUGCCUGCAGCAGCAACUGGGCAGCAUCAAUGACGAUUACAAAGAUCUAGAUGCUCGUUAUGAAGGUACGCACGUCUUUCUGUCUUUGCCCAUGUACCACGUCCGCACCUUUAUACAAGUUUAUUCUAACAUCAUUUGUGAUGUUUGCAGUAAUGGCAAUGAAACCGAAGACAUGGAAGCAAAUACCAAAACUGGUCCGUGAGCGGAGGCGGGCCGCUCGACAAGCCAGGGAAGGCCAGCAAUCCACCAUGCAGGAGUAAACAGGGCAGGAAAGCAUGCAUUCUUUUAGCUUCGAACAAUGUACUUGUAUGUUAUGUCAUGACUGGUUGAACGUUGACCUUUAGCUUGUUCAGAUUCAGAUACUUGUAAUGUGGAUUAAUUCAUCUCCUUUUGAACAUUUCCCGGGUUUAGUAGAAUUCGGGAUAUGUACUGAUGUUUGUGAGCUAUCUAUGUAUGCAUCAAGUAGCUAGGAAUAACAGUUAUUUGGUUGAGGAGACAUCGGCAUCAGAAACUUUGCAAACUCUGGUUUUUAUCAGCUUUGAUUUGAUGAUUUCAAUGAUUAGAUACUGGAGUAGUUAAUUACUGGGAGAUGCCAGAUCAUCCAUUUCCCAAGAGGAGGAAUGAAAGGUUCAACUCGUUGAGAACUGUCUUGAUGCUGUGAACUCUGCUCUGCUACCUGUGAUUGCUUGUAAAACUCAACUCUGGUGUAUGGCGAUCUGCUCUGGAUUUGGUUUUCUGCUGUGCUGGUGUAUGCAUCUACUAUCUAUCUAGCAAAUUUUAGCCGCUGUUACUUUGUUGACAGGACAUUUGCCUUUUAACUUGUUGAGAAGCUUUGUAAACUGCUGUCCGGUUUUAUCUGCUUCAAUCAAUACUUCAAUAGUGAUGGAAUGAUGGUUACCAAAUCAUCCUUCAACCUGUUGAGAAACCAACUUUCCAGCACUCUUUGGUCUGUAGACUCUGAAUUUCUGCUCUGCUAGAGUGCUAGGGGAAUGAAUGCUGGCUUGUGAUUGCUUCUACAACUCUACUCUACUGUACUGCACUGCCUGUGAUGUAAAUUUCUGCACCAAUCUGCUCAUCUUAUGCCCAUUUCCAUAACACUCAGACGUAUGCACAGCAGCAGCACUAAUGAUUCUUUUGAUCCAGCAAAAAAAUAAACUCGCUGUGGCUGAAGCUAGCUAAAUCAUGAUCUUUGCAAGAGCAAUGUUUUAUUUUGCGGCAGAAUGUAGUAUGCAAGUAACAAGGAAAACGACCUUGCAAGAGGAAACAGUUGGUUUGAUUACCUAAUAAUACUCAUCAAAACACAUCAUUAAUUCGCACCCGCAAUUCAUGUUUCAUAUUGCAGCAGAAUGUAGUAUGUAAGUAAGUAACAGGGAACCCCUAAAUUGAAGGACACUCGGGCCUUCGCCCAGUCCAGUGCAAUCCCUCGCCGGAAUCAAAUCUACAGCCGAUGGUGUUUCAGGUCUCACCAAAAAGUCCAGGCAGGUUAUUCAUUCA